CUGCCGCCUGUAGGCCUCGGCGUGGCGCUGACGCAAUCGCGCAACCCUGU
RNAcentral lists this small RNA (50 nucleotides) under Sinorhizobium meliloti 2011. RNAcentral describes it as "putative ncRNA". The record is from RNAcentral. Lineage: Bacteria; Pseudomonadati; Pseudomonadota; Alphaproteobacteria; Hyphomicrobiales; Rhizobiaceae.